This 245-nucleotide ribosomal RNA is filed under the name uncultured bacterium. Its description in RNAcentral is "partial 16S ribosomal RNA". It matches the Rfam family "Bacterial small subunit ribosomal RNA", at positions 524 to 768 of the family's 1533-position model. The record is from RNAcentral.
GACAGAGGUGGCAAGCGUUGUUCGGAAUUACUGGGCUUAAAGGGCGAGUAGGCGGUAAGGCAAGUCUGAGGUGGAAUCCUAUGGCUUAACCAUAGAAUUGCCUCGGAAACUGCUUUACUUGAGUCAGUGAGGGGAGGGCGGAAUUCCUGGUGUAGCGGUGAAAUGCGUAGAUAUCAGGAGGAAGGCCUGUGGCGAAGGCGGCCCUCUGGCACUGUACUGACGCUGAGGCGCGAAAGCGUGGGUAG